AAAGUCAUUUUUUUUUUUUUUUUGCUUUAUUUCAAAUUCAACAAACCACUAAUCGAAGGAAAGGGGAGGCAAUCCUCUUCCUUCUCAAACCCAGGGUAACCUUGGUAGCUUCCAAGCCUCCAUCAAAGGCAAACACGGUUGUAAAUAACAAUCAUUUCCUAUUCAUAAAAGCUGCCCUUGACAGUCCAAGAAAUAACAAAUUACAAGUGAAUAGUUCCCAAGAGCUUCUGAUGCACUUUAAUCACCCCGAAUCUGUUUUGAUGGUUUUUUUUUCUUCUUUUCUCCCUUUGGAGAGGAAUUAUUAACAGCUUUGAGGAACUACAGCCCAGUUUGUGAAUUCUGGGUGCUCUACCAGAGUCGAGUUGGAAGCAGGAAAACAAAUUCACUGUCCAUUAUUAAUGCCAUUCUUCCUGGAAAACUAAGACAUUUGAGG
This 433-nucleotide long non-coding RNA is filed under the name Rattus norvegicus (Norway rat). RNAcentral describes it as "long non-coding RNA NONRATT000010". The record is from RNAcentral. Lineage: Eukaryota; Metazoa; Chordata; Mammalia; Rodentia; Muridae.